This 22-nucleotide unclassified non-coding RNA is filed under the name Mus musculus (house mouse). RNAcentral's name for it is "oocyte_clustered_small_RNA8498". The record is from RNAcentral. Lineage: Eukaryota; Metazoa; Chordata; Mammalia; Rodentia; Muridae.
UCCGCGGGCAGCAACCCUCGCG